RNAcentral lists this ribosomal RNA (499 nucleotides) under uncultured cyanobacterium. RNAcentral describes it as "bacterial SSU rRNA". It matches the Rfam family "Bacterial small subunit ribosomal RNA", at positions 355 to 867 of the family's 1533-position model. Lineage: Bacteria; Bacillati; Cyanobacteriota. The record is from RNAcentral.
UGGGGAAUUUUCCGCAAUGGGCUAACGCCUGACGGAGCAAUACCGCGUGAGGGAUGACGGCCUAUGGGUUGUAAACCUCUUUUUUCAGGGAGGAAUAAAUGACGUGUACCUGAAGAAUAAGCAUCGGCUAACUCCGUGCCAGCAGCCGCGGUAAGACGGAGGAUGCAAGUGUUAUCCGGAAUCACUGGGCGUAAAGCGUCUGUAGGUGGUUUAAUAAGUCAACUGUUAAAUCUUGAGGCUUAACUUCAAAAUCGCAGUCGAAACUAUUAGACUAGAGUAUAGUAGGGGUAAAGGGAAUUUCCAGUGGAGCGGUGAAAUGCGUAGAGAUUGGAAAGAACACCAAUGGCGAAGGCACUUUACUGGGCUAUUACUGACACUGAGAGACGAAAGCUAGGGUAGCAAAUGGGAUUAGAUACCCCAGUAGUCCUAGCCGUAAACGAUGGAUACUAGAUGUUGAACAGAUCGACCUGUGCAGUGUCAAAGCUAACGCGUUAAGUAU